ACCGUUUGUGGUUUACAAACACAAUGACUGGGUUUUCAGAGUUUUGUGAGAUGUGUCUCCCUCAAGCCUUCUUAUAACAUUAGCACAUAACUUAUCUGCCA
Molecule: small nucleolar RNA, 101 nt
Organism: Heterocephalus glaber (naked mole-rat)
Lineage: Eukaryota; Metazoa; Chordata; Mammalia; Rodentia; Bathyergidae
Source: Ensembl